RNAcentral lists this ribosomal RNA (253 nucleotides) under uncultured bacterium. RNAcentral describes it as "partial 16S ribosomal RNA". It matches the Rfam family "Bacterial small subunit ribosomal RNA", at positions 524 to 776 of the family's 1533-position model. The record is from RNAcentral.
UACGUAGGGUGCGAGCGUUAAUCGGAAUUACUGGGCGUAAAGCGUGCGCAGGCGGUUUUUUAAGACAGGCGUGAAAUCCCCGGGCUUAACCUGGGAACUGCGCUUGUGACUGGAAGGCUAGAGUACGGCAGAGGGGGGUGGAAUUCCACGUGUAGCAGUGAAAUGCGUAGAGAUGUGGAGGAACACCGAUGGCGAAGGCAGCCCCCUGGGCUAAGAUUGACGCUCAUGCACGAAAGCGUGGGGAGCAAACAGG